GGACGCUUAGCUCAGUGGUAGAGCACUUCCUUCACACGGAAGGGGUCGCAGGUUCGAACCCUGCAGCGUCUACCA
RNAcentral lists this transfer RNA (75 nucleotides) under Verrucomicrobiota bacterium. RNAcentral describes it as "Verrucomicrobia bacterium (groundwater metagenome) tRNA-Val". It matches the Rfam family "tRNA". From Rfam's summary of the family: Transfer RNA (tRNA) molecules are approximately 80 nucleotides in length. Their secondary structure includes four short double-helical elements and three loops (D, anti-codon, and T loops). Further hydrogen bonds mediate the characteristic L-shaped molecular structure. tRNAs have two regions of fundamental functional importance: the anti-codon, which is responsible for specific mRNA codon recognition, and the 3' end, to which the tRNAs corresponding amino acid is attached (by aminoacyl-tRNA synthetases). tRNAs cope with the degeneracy of the genetic code in two manners: having more than one tRNA (with a specific anti-codon) for a particular amino acid; and 'wobble' base-pairing, i.e. permitting non-standard base-pairing at the 3rd anti-codon position. Lineage: Bacteria; Pseudomonadati; Verrucomicrobiota. The record is from RNAcentral.